RNAcentral lists this non-coding RNA (29 nucleotides) under Rattus norvegicus (Norway rat). The record is from RNAcentral. Lineage: Eukaryota; Metazoa; Chordata; Mammalia; Rodentia; Muridae.
UUCAGCUGUUUGCUUGAUUCAGUGUCAAU